This 413-nucleotide ribosomal RNA is filed under the name uncultured Kluyveromyces. RNAcentral's name for it is "eukaryotic LSU rRNA". The stretch from base 1 to 74 matches the Rfam family "5.8S ribosomal RNA", at positions 82 to 154 of the family's 154-position model. The record is from RNAcentral. Lineage: Eukaryota; Fungi; Ascomycota; Saccharomycetes; Saccharomycetales; Saccharomycetaceae.
AUGUGAAUCAUCGAAUCUUUAGAACGCACAUUGCGCCCUAUGGUAUUCCAUAGGGCAUGCCUGUUUGAGCGUCAUUUCUCUCUCAAACCUUUGGGUUUGGUAGUGAGUGAUACUCGUCUCGGGUUAACUUGAAAGUGGCUAGCCGUUGCCAUCUGCGUGAGCAGGGCUGCGUGUCAAGUCUAUGGACUCGACUCUUGCACAUCUACGUCUUAGGUUUGCGCCAAUUCGUGGUAAGCUUGGGUCAUAGAGACUCAUAGGUGUUAUAAAGACUCGCUGGUGUUUGUCUCCUUGAGGCAUACGGCUUUAACCAAAACUCUCAAAGUUUGACCUCAAAUCAGGUAGGACUACCCGCUGAACUUAAGCUUAUCAAUAAGCGGAGGAAUCUGCUGAAAAUACGCAGUAGCCGACAGAGG